UGCAAGAGAUAUCUACACUCGGCAUUUUUUUCCUUUUGGGGUAUACAAAAGAUAGUACUACAGAAAUUCAGUGUCUGGCAUUGUUGGUUUUCUUGGCCUUGUGCAUGUUAAACCUGGUAUUUCUAUUAAUAGAGUA
Molecule: small nucleolar RNA, 136 nt
Filed under: Dasypus novemcinctus (nine-banded armadillo)
Lineage: Eukaryota; Metazoa; Chordata; Mammalia; Cingulata; Dasypodidae
Description: Small nucleolar RNA SNORA8 (ENSDNOG00000040927.1)
Rfam family: Small nucleolar RNA SNORA8
About the family: ACA8 is a member of the H/ACA class of snoRNA that guide the sites of modification of uridines to pseudouridines.
Source: RNAcentral